UCGAGCGGACAGAAGGGAGCUUGCUCCCGGAUGUUAGCGGCGGACGGGUGAGUAACACGUGGGUAACCUGCCUGUAAGACUGGGAUAACUCCGGGAAACCGGAGCUAAUACCGGAUAGUUCCUUGAACCGCAUGGUUCAAGGAUGAAAGACGGUUUCGGCUGUCACUUACAGAUGGACCCGCGGCGCAUUAGCUAGUUGGUGAGGUAACGGCUCACCAAGGCGACGAUGCGUAGCCGACCUGAGAGGGUGAUCGGCCACACUGGGACUGAGACACGGCCCAGACUCCUACGGGAGGCAGCAGUAGGGAAUCUUCCGCAAUGGACGAAAGUCUGACGGAGCAACGCCGCGUGAGUGAUGAAGGUUUUCGGAUCGUAAAGCUCUGUUGUUAGGGAAGAACAAGUGCAAGAGUAACUGCUUGCACCUUGACGGUACCUAACCAGAAAGCCACGGCUAACUACGUGCCAGCAGCCGCGGUAAUACGUAGGUGGCAAGCGUUGUCCGGAAUUAUUGGGCGUAAAGGGCUCGCAGGCGGUUUCUUAAGUCUGAUGUGAAAGCCCCCGGCUCAACCGGGGAGGGUCAUUGGAAACUGGGAAACUUGAGUGCAGAAGAGGAGAGUGGAAUUCCACGUGUAGCGGUGAAAUGCGUAGAGAUGUGGAGGAACACCAGUGGCGAAGGCGACUCUCUGGUCUGUAACUGACGCUGAGGAGCGAAAGCGUGGGGAGCGAACAGGAUUAGAUACCCUGGUAGUCCACGCCGUAAACGAUGAGUGCUAAGUGUUAGGGGGUUUCCGCCCCUUAGUGCUGCAGCUAACGCAUUAAGCACUCCGCCUGGGGAGUACGGUCGCAAGACUGAAACUCAAAGGAAUUGACGGGGGCCCGCACAAGCGGUGGA
This 892-nucleotide ribosomal RNA is filed under the name Bacillus aerius. RNAcentral describes it as "bacterial SSU rRNA". It matches the Rfam family "Bacterial small subunit ribosomal RNA", at positions 62 to 936 of the family's 1533-position model. The record is from RNAcentral. Lineage: Bacteria; Bacillati; Bacillota; Bacilli; Caryophanales; Bacillaceae.